CGGGCUGUAGCGUAGCGGUUUAGCGCGCCUGCUUUGGGAGCAGGAGGUCGUCGGUUCGAAUCCGACCAGCCCGA
Molecule: transfer RNA, 74 nt
Filed under: Candidatus Yanofskybacteria bacterium CG10_big_fil_rev_8_21_14_0_10_46_23
Lineage: Bacteria; Candidatus Yanofskyibacteriota
Description: tRNA-Pro
Rfam family: tRNA
About the family: Transfer RNA (tRNA) molecules are approximately 80 nucleotides in length. Their secondary structure includes four short double-helical elements and three loops (D, anti-codon, and T loops).
Source: RNAcentral